GCCCUACGGGGCGCAGCAGGCGCGAAAACUUUACAAUGCGGGAAACCGUGAUAAGGGAACUCCGAGUGUCCGUCAAUGCGGACUGUCCGUAUGUUUAAAAAGCAUGCGAAGAAAGGGCCGGGCAAGACCGGUGCCAGCCGCCGCGGUAAUACCGGCGGCUCGAGUGGUGGCCACGAUUACUGGGCUUAAAGCGUUCGUAGCUGGGUUGUUAAGUCUCUUGGGAAAUCUACCGGCUUAACCGAUAGGCGUCCAAGGGAUACUGGCAAUCUAGGAC
This 274-nucleotide ribosomal RNA is filed under the name uncultured archaeon. RNAcentral describes it as "partial 16S ribosomal RNA". It matches the Rfam family "Archaeal small subunit ribosomal RNA", at positions 320 to 598 of the family's 1478-position model. The record is from RNAcentral.